This 108-nucleotide ribosomal RNA is filed under the name Castor canadensis (American beaver). Lineage: Eukaryota; Metazoa; Chordata; Mammalia; Rodentia; Castoridae. The record is from RNAcentral.
CCAGACUGCCCUGAACUUGCCUGAUGUUGUCUGAGCUCAGAAGCUAAACAGGGUUGGGCCUGGUUAAUACUCUGAUGAAAGAAAGAAUAUCCCAGGAGGAAAAGUGGC